This 757-nucleotide long non-coding RNA is filed under the name Mytilus galloprovincialis (Mediterranean mussel). The record is from RNAcentral. Lineage: Eukaryota; Metazoa; Mollusca; Bivalvia; Mytilida; Mytilidae.
AUUAAACAUGUGUUCAAUUACCUUUGACCUUUGGACAAAUUUAUGGUAAUCUACACUACAAACCAUUAAAGUCUGAAAUGGCCUAUAUCUGUACUCGACUGUACUGACUUUUACUCGACCAGUCUGAAUUUGUCUGAAACAUACUCGACUGUACUGAAUCGUACUUGACCCUUAUCUUUGCCGUUGGCAAUAGUCUGAACUAUUACUCGACCAGUCUGAAACAGUCUUAACCCAUUCUUGAUAUGUACUCGACCUAUUUUUCCAGUCUAAACCGUACGUAACCAAAGGUCUGAACAAUACUCGACCAGUCUGAACCAUACUAGACCAAAUAACCUCUACUUUUUUAACUGUUAAAAUCAAUUUCUUUUUAACUGACAUAUAUAACAACAGCCAACAAAAUUUAUGAAUUGUUUAACCUUAUAUUAGAAAUAUAUCUAUUAUUAUAUUUAGGAUAAAAAAUAAUAUAAUUUUUAUUAUAGAUAAUUUAUAUCAAAAAGGGAUAAAAUUAAAUAAAUAAGUAAAAUUGUUUUUCUGAGAAGUGGUGAAAUUUAAAAUAUAAUCUCUGCUUGGGGCAAACUCCUAAAUAAGAUCACACCUGGUCAGAGGUAUUAAAUUCUAAAUAACAUUUAUUCAAAAUUGCAACAUCCUGUUUAACUUUAAAAAACAAGGCCUUUCGAAUAUACAAGAUAAGUAAUACACGAAUUUAAGAAAAUAGGGAUUUCUUUUUACCUACAGGUAAAACACACAUGUACUGAGA